Rosa rugosa (rugosa rose) is the source of this 1228-nucleotide RNA transcript. It is a transcript of the gene named potassium channel SKOR-like, with no coding region annotated. Lineage: Eukaryota; Viridiplantae; Streptophyta; Magnoliopsida; Rosales; Rosaceae. The transcript is spliced from 5 exons. The record is from RefSeq and is a predicted model, not a curated record.
UAUCUGUUUUUCUCAAGGAUAUUGGUCAUAGAUAUGUUGUUAUACCCAUGUCUGCAGUUUUUAGUAAUAGGCAACAUGUGGAUUUGUUCAGAUUUUUCUCUGUUGUGAGACAUAAAGAUCGGUAUGAUUUAGUUUCGAAGAAGAGGCUAUGGUGUUUUGUGUCCAAAGAAUUGGACUUGAUUGGUGGAGCAACAGUGACUUCUGUAAAGUUGAUCUACUUUAACUAUUUGAAUGAGUUGGAGAUAUGAUUUAGGGAGAGUUUAAUCCAUAAUUGACAGAAACCUGAUUGUUGAUAGUGUGGAGCAGUUUCUAUAUUAUAUUUCUUUAUGUAAUGUUUCAUUGAAAUUGUAUUCAACAGAAUACAGUGGAUGAUCAGGACACAGGGUUUUCUAAUAAGGAAGCCACGCUGUUGAAAUCACAGAAAUUCACCCCUGAAUUUGAUUUCACAAACCUUAUAUUUUCCAAACAUUGUAAAUGUUCCUCUCUUCAAGGGAUGCUCAACGGAAUUCAUCAAUCAGAUUGUUAUUAAACUACACGAGGAAUUUUUUGUCCCUGGAGAAGUGAUAAUGGAACCUGGAAAUGUGGUAGAUCAAAUUUAUUUUGUCUGUCAUGGUGUACUGGUGGGCAUGCUCCAGGAUGGCAAGAUGUGCAGCCUCAUGAUCCUCAAGUUCAAGAUGCAGCCAACCAUGUUGUGAAGAGCCUUCAACAAAAGUCCAAUUCAUUGUUCCCUUAUGAGCUUCAAGAGAUUGUCCAUGCUAAGGCAGAGGCUAUGGAUUCAUUUGAGCCCUAUGGAAAUGGAUCAAAUGGAGAGAAUGGCGCAAAUGUAGAAAACGACGCAAAUGGAGAAACCAGGGCAGAUGGAAACGGGGCAGAGCAUGCAUUGCUACCCCCACCCCCUGUUAUCCCACCAGAUGUUGUUCCAUUGCGUGCUCAAGUAGAUAUUACACCUGAACCUUUAAAGAAGAAGAUUGUGCACCUACCAAUUGCUAGGCGAGGCCUUGGAACAAAAGGGCAAAAGAUUCCUCUGCUGACUAAUAGAUUUAAAUCUCUUACUAUUUGAACAUAUAUAGGCAACACCUAUAAAUCUUGUGGGGUGAGGAUGCAUUCAAAGAUGGGCAUACAAUCAGCUUCUACAUUGAGCCUAAAGUGUUUAGAUUACUCAUUUGAUGGUUUACAAUGUUUGUAUUUGAUGAACUAUUGUUCAUUUCGUAAAUGGACCAAAUGAAUG